This 301-nucleotide ribosomal RNA is filed under the name uncultured bacterium. Its description in RNAcentral is "partial 16S ribosomal RNA". It matches the Rfam family "Bacterial small subunit ribosomal RNA", at positions 509 to 807 of the family's 1533-position model. The record is from RNAcentral.
CAGUCGCCGCGGGAAUACGGAGGGUGCAAGCGUUAAUCGGAAUUACUGGGCGUAAAGCGCACGCAGGCGGUCUGACAAGUCAGAUGUGAAAUCCCCGGGCUUAACCUGGGAACUGCAUUUGAAACUGUCAGGCUGGAGUCUUGCAGAGGGGGGUGGAAUUCCAGGUGUAGCGGUGAAAUGCGUAGAGAUCUGGAGGAAUACCGGUGGCGAAGGCGGCCCCCUGGACAAAGACUGACGCUCAGGUGCGAAAGCGUGGGGAGCAAACAGGAUUAGAUACCCGAGUAGUCCCUGUCUCUUAUAC